Molecule: unclassified non-coding RNA, 160 nt
Filed under: uncultured Helotiales
Lineage: Eukaryota; Fungi; Ascomycota; Leotiomycetes; Helotiales
Description: sequence contains ITS1
Source: RNAcentral
CUGAAGUUUUGGCCCGCAAGGGCCAUCCUUCCACCCUUUGUUUACCAUACCAUUGUUGCUUUGGCGGGCCGCCUAGGCUACCGGCUUCGGCUGGUGAGUGCCCGCCAGAGACCCCAAAACCCUGAAUAUUAGUGUUGUCUGAGAAAAAACAAAAUAUUUA